This 338-nucleotide long non-coding RNA is filed under the name Marmota monax (woodchuck). The record is from RNAcentral. Lineage: Eukaryota; Metazoa; Chordata; Mammalia; Rodentia; Sciuridae.
GGAGAGCACCUGAGUUAGUGGGGUGCACUUGGGGAAGGUAAGACUUUAUGAUGUAUGAUUCCAUUUGGCUUCAAUCCAGUGAUUUUUAUGACAUCUUUUCCUGAGGGUAGCAGGCCUUCGUGAAGGAGAAAGUAGGACUGUGCAGUUGGUAGGAGGCUCAGAGAGGUUAUGAGGGCAAAUUCCCUGAAUUUGUGAUGUGAUCUGGGGCUGUGGUCUACCCACAGGCCAUUCCACACACAUUCACCGAACACUUAGUUUAUGUCAAGUGCUAUGUCAGAAUGAAGGUGAGAGGCUACAGUCCCUGCCUAUUGGGAGCUUUGAGCAGGAGAGCAGGAAUU